GAUGAACGCUGGCGGCGUGCCUAAUACAUGCCAGUCGAGCGAACAGAUGAGGAGCUUGCUCCUCUGACGUUAGCGGCGGACGGGUGAGUAACACGUGGAUAACCUACCUAUAAGACUGGGAUAACUUCGGGAAGCCGGAGCUAAUACCGGAUAAUAUAUUGAACCGCAUGGUUCAAUAGUGAAAGACGGUUUUGCUGUCACUUAUAGAUGGAUCCGCGCCGCAUUAGCUAGUUGGUAAGGUAACGGCUUACCAAGGCAACGAUGCGUAGCCGACCUGAGAGGGUGAUCGGCCACACUGGAACUGAGACACGGUCCAGACUCCUACGGGAGGCAGCAGUAGGGAAUCUUCCGCAAUGGGCGAAAGCCUGACGGAGCAACGCCGCGUGAGUGAUGAAGGUCUUCGGAUCGUAAAACUCUGUUAUUAGGGAAGAACAAAUGUGUAAGUAACUAUGCACGUCUUGACGGUACCUAAUCAGAAAGCCACGGCUAACUACGUG
RNAcentral lists this ribosomal RNA (497 nucleotides) under uncultured bacterium. RNAcentral describes it as "partial 16S ribosomal RNA". It matches the Rfam family "Bacterial small subunit ribosomal RNA", at positions 28 to 507 of the family's 1533-position model. The record is from RNAcentral.